RNAcentral lists this ribosomal RNA (253 nucleotides) under uncultured bacterium. RNAcentral describes it as "partial 16S ribosomal RNA". It matches the Rfam family "Bacterial small subunit ribosomal RNA", at positions 524 to 776 of the family's 1533-position model. The record is from RNAcentral.
GACAGAGGCCACAAGCGUUAGGCGGAAUCACUGGGCUUAAAGCGUGUGUAGGCGGACCGUUAAGUGCUUUGUGAAAUCCCACGGCUCAACCGUGGAAUGGCUUGGCAUACUGGCGGUCUUGAGCCACUCAGGGGCAACUGGAACUAACGGUGGAGCGGUGAAAUGCGUAGAUAUCGUUAGGAACGCCGAAGGUGAAAACAGGUUGCUGGGGGUGUGCUGACGCUGAGACACGAAAGCCAGGGGAGCAAACGGG